CGCAAAGACAGAAGCACAAUUUGCAUUUCGUAUAUUUUUAGUCAACACAUCAAAUAUUGUAACUGGCAUCUCGAAAUAGUAAAUGCAAGAAACUGUUACACACGCACGGAACCGCUGACGUGGAGUAUUUAAAAGGAAACUGCCACACCAUCUCAAAGCCAGUUUGCCAAUAUCGGUCCUACCGCUACUCAGACAUCACAGUUUUCCAGAGUGCUGGCACGCCUGCUAUCAAGCGUCUUUGUCUGAUCAAACUACAACAUGUACAUUAUUUCCAAACAACGUGAAGUUUAUGACGUUAGCUAAUAUUAAUGUUUUCAGGUUUCUGUUUUAGAAUUAAUGUUUCUGGUUUUUAUUCUAAGUUGAUAAUUUAUAUAUUUUGUUAACCAUUACAAUAUUGUUAGUUUAGCUGGAAGAAAUUAAAAUGUUUUUUGAAAACCGUCAUAUUAAUGAUAAAAGGCAUUUGUCUUAUCGGGUACUGUUGAACUAUCCUUUGGGUGCCUUGUUCAAGCAUAAGAUGUGUGUUUCAAUUACUUGUAGUACUUAGCUCUUAGAUCCUGUCAUGGCCCUGCCUUUUCAUGGCAAUGUUUUCAGAUAUCACUACGUCAUAUAUAGUAUCCAAUUUAAUAAAAUGUGUUAUAGUUUUGGAUUUUAAAUGUAAAGAAAACAACUUUGA
Mercenaria mercenaria is the source of this 673-nucleotide long non-coding RNA. RefSeq lists it as uncharacterized. The record is from RefSeq and is a predicted model, not a curated record. Lineage: Eukaryota; Metazoa; Mollusca; Bivalvia; Venerida; Veneridae. The transcript has 3 exons.